Long non-coding RNA from Carlito syrichta (Philippine tarsier), 376 nucleotides. RefSeq lists it as uncharacterized. The transcript has 2 exons. NCBI's taxonomy places the organism in Eukaryota, Metazoa, Chordata, Mammalia, Primates, Tarsiidae. The record is from RefSeq and is a predicted model, not a curated record.
ACUUAAAAAGUGUCUUUGCAUGGGUGAUCUAAUUGACUCCUCACAACAGCCACUUGAGGGCACAGGAGAGUCCACAUGAGGGGUUGUGUCGAUGGAAGAGGUUACUGCCCGCAUUUGAGGAGCCAGACAUGACUGUCUAAGACAGAUGGACAUGGACAUAGAAGGGAGAGGAACCAGAAGGGAUCACCACUGGCCUGGAGUCAACCCAGAAGCUGACGUGUUGUAUACGUCCCCAACACUGACUUUUUGUUUGGAUGCAGAAAGAUAAUUAUUUGUCUUUGGAAUGUUCAGGAAACCUUUUAAAUUUUGUACCCCUUUUCACGAUGUCCAGUUAAGUGAAAUUUCAGAAGGUCUACAAUAAAAUUGGUACAAGCUA